GCGGGUGUAAUUCAGUGGUAGAAUGUCAGCUUCCCAAGCUGAACGUCGCCGGUUCGAAUCCGGUCUCCCGCU
This 72-nucleotide transfer RNA is filed under the name Synechococcus sp. BOUM118. RNAcentral's name for it is "tRNA-Gly". It matches the Rfam family "tRNA". Rfam says of the family: Transfer RNA (tRNA) molecules are approximately 80 nucleotides in length. Lineage: Bacteria; Bacillati; Cyanobacteriota; Cyanophyceae; Synechococcales; Synechococcaceae. The record is from RNAcentral. RNAcentral also lists the same sequence under 1 other name.